This 274-nucleotide ribosomal RNA is filed under the name uncultured bacterium. RNAcentral's name for it is "partial 16S ribosomal RNA". It matches the Rfam family "Bacterial small subunit ribosomal RNA", at positions 523 to 796 of the family's 1533-position model. The record is from RNAcentral.
AUACGGAGGGUGCAAGCGUUAAUCGGAAUUACUGGGCGUAAAGCGCGCGUAGGCGGUUUGGUAAGUCGGAUGUGAAAGCCCCGGGCUCAACCUGGGAAUUGCAUACGAUACUGGCAAACUAGAGUAUGAGAGAGGGAGGUAGAAUUCCAUGUGUAGCGGUGAAAUGCGUAGAUAUGUGGAGGAAUACCAGUGGCGAAGGCGGCCUCCUGGCUCAAUACUGACGCUAAGGUGCGAAAGCGUGGGGAGCAAACAGGAUUAGAUACCCCGGUAGUCC